Limulus polyphemus (Atlantic horseshoe crab) is the source of this 507-nucleotide long non-coding RNA. RefSeq lists it as uncharacterized. The record is from RefSeq and is a predicted model, not a curated record. The transcript has 3 exons. NCBI's taxonomy places the organism in Eukaryota, Metazoa, Arthropoda, Merostomata, Xiphosura, Limulidae.
CUAAAUGUUUUGAUACUGGUAUCACUGAAGUUGUUAUUAAUUUCACGUAUACGUGUUUUGAUCUUUAAAUUGUUUUAAAUGGAAAUAAUUAAAACUCUUAUUUGGCGGGAAAAUGAUCGUCGAACGUAGAAUUCCUAUGUCUGUUGGACAUCAAUAUCAAGAAAAUGUCGAAGACGUUUAUGUGAAAGAUUCUAUUGAACUGGAUGGUGUUGAUCUGAGACUGAACUUGUAACACAAGAAAGUGCAGUAUGAACAAUUACAAUAGCACAGUGUUGGAAGUGAUGAAAGGACGUUGUUGAUAUAAUAACAGUGAUAAGUUCGUUUGGAACAACAGCUUCAAGAACUAUGUGAUGAAUGAAAGCACAGUCAACAUUACUGCAUUGGACUGCUCCAUACAGCUAACCAACCAUAAACAUUACUUUAAUGCUUAUUACAACCCUUUGCAUAUCAAACCUCUCUGAUCAAAAUUAUAUAAAAAUUGAAAAAGUAAAAAGAUUCCAUCUGAAA